CCGUUCAGGUCCGAGGUGGAGAGGCUGUAAUGAAAAGAAAGUGAAACUAAAAGCAAGCAGCAGAUGGCAAGAUCCAGGCAGCACAGAGGCCACCCAAGCCAGCCUCUUUGCAGCUCCCGCCUCUCCCCAGCCCACCUGAGGGCUCUAGAAUGGGAGGUGCCAAGCAACUUGGGUGAGAAACCCUGAACACGCUUCCCCUCUGGAGCACCUUCUCAUGAUGCAGCGUCUUAGUACACGAGCAGAAGCCAUGCAUUCUUAGGAAUAAAUUCUACCUCCCUCCUGCUUCUGGGACUGCGCAGGAGGAGCUUCCGAGACUCCUGGGUGCUUCUGACUCAGAGCCUUCCUGCUGGGGACACAGGAGCCAGCUGAGAUCCUCCAGCCUCCCUCUCUCCUGGGAACCCUGGGGCGUCUGUAAUGACCUGAAGGCCUCUUUGGGCUUAAGGAUAGGGAGAAAGAGAACAGAAAGAAAGAUAUGCGUGGGAAAUGGCUGCAUGAAAAGCCUUUUAGGAUUUGGGGAAGAGAAUUCUUAGAAGGCUAUAGGAUGAGACCAAUGCAAAGCAGGACACUAAAGCACAAUGAUUGGGUGAUUACACACCGACAGCACAAUGUCCUAUUGUGGACAGUCGUCAAGGUUCUCGUCAUUUUCACAGUGAAAACGUGAGUGCUUACACAAGGACCUCCAGAGCAGACGUCUUCAAUAUCACAUCUACUCCAGCCCAACCACUUCCUUCCUGAUUCCUUACAACCCUUGUAGUUUGUGUAUGCAUUAAUCAAAUAAAUGAGGAAAAGGAAAUGAGGUUUGGAUAUAACAGUA
Molecule: long non-coding RNA, 814 nt
Filed under: Cavia porcellus (domestic guinea pig)
Lineage: Eukaryota; Metazoa; Chordata; Mammalia; Rodentia; Caviidae
Description: lncRNA (ENSCPOG00000036725.1)
Source: RNAcentral